This 251-nucleotide ribosomal RNA is filed under the name uncultured bacterium. RNAcentral describes it as "partial 16S ribosomal RNA". It matches the Rfam family "Bacterial small subunit ribosomal RNA", at positions 85 to 339 of the family's 1533-position model. The record is from RNAcentral.
UUCAUGAUUAGUGGCGCACGGGUGAGUAAUGUAUAGGUAACCUGCCUCUUAGACCGGGAUAGCCACUGGAAACGGUGAUUAAUACUGGAUACUCCUUCUUCGUAACUCGAAGUUGGGAAAUGUUUUUCGCUAAGAGAUGGGCCUAUAUUGUAUCAGCUUGUUGGUGAGGUAAUGGCUCACCAAGGCUAUGACACAUAGCUGAUUUGAGAGGAUGAUCAGCCACACUGGUACUGAGACACGGACCAGACUCC